GACGAACGUUGGCGGCGUGCUUAACACAUGCAAGUCGAACGGAAAGGCCCUGCUUGCAGGGUACUCGAGUGGCGAACGGGUGAGUAACACGUGGGUGAUCUGCCCUGCACUUCGGGAUAAGCCUGGGAAACUGGGUCUAAUACCGGAUAGGAGCCAUUUUUAGUGUGAUGGUUGGAAAGUUUUUUCGGUGUAGGAUGAGCUCGCGGCCUAUCAGCUUGUUGGUGGGGUAAUGGCCUACCAAGGCGGCGACGGGUAGCCGGCCUGAGAGGGUGGACGGCCACAUUGGGACUGAGAUACGGCCCAGGCUCCUACGGGAGGCAGCAGUGGGGAAUAUUGCACAAUGGGCGCAAGCCUGAUGCAGCGACGCCGCGUGGGGGAUGACGGCCUUCGGGUUGUAAACUCCUUUCGCUAGGGACGAAGCUUUUUGUGACGGUACCUAGAUAAGAAGCACCGGCUAACUACGUG
Molecule: ribosomal RNA, 465 nt
Filed under: uncultured bacterium
Lineage: Bacteria
Description: partial 16S ribosomal RNA
Rfam family: Bacterial small subunit ribosomal RNA
Source: RNAcentral